This 301-nucleotide ribosomal RNA is filed under the name uncultured bacterium. RNAcentral describes it as "partial 16S ribosomal RNA". It matches the Rfam family "Bacterial small subunit ribosomal RNA", at positions 509 to 807 of the family's 1533-position model. The record is from RNAcentral.
CAGUAGCCACGGUAAUACGUAGGUGGCAAGCGUUGUCCGGAAUUAUUGGGCGUAAAGCGCGCGCAGGUGGUUUAAUAAGUCUGAUGUGAAAGCCCACGGCUCAACCGUGGAGGGUCAUUGGAAACUGUUAAACUUGAGUGCAGGAGAGAAAAGUGGAAUUCCUAGUGUAGCGGUGAAAUGCGUAGAGAUUAGGAGGAACACCAGUGGCGAAGGCGGCUUUUUGGCCUGUAACUGACACUGAGGCGCGAAAGCGUGGGGAGCAAACAGGAUUAGAUACCCCCGUAGUCCCUGUCUCUUAUAC